RNAcentral lists this ribosomal RNA (492 nucleotides) under uncultured bacterium. RNAcentral's name for it is "partial 16S ribosomal RNA". It matches the Rfam family "Bacterial small subunit ribosomal RNA", at positions 29 to 507 of the family's 1533-position model. The record is from RNAcentral.
AGUGAACGCUGGCGGUAUGCCUAACACAUGCAAGUCGAACGGCAGCACAGUAAGAGCUUGCUCUUACGGGUGGCGAGUGGCGGACGGGUGAGGAAUACAUCGGAAUCUACUUUUUCGUGGGGGAUAACGUAGGGAAACUUACGCUAAUACCGCAUACGAACUACGUGUGAAAGCAGGGGAUCUUCGGAACUUGCGCGAUUGAAUGAGCCGAUGUCGGACUAGCUAGUUGGAGGGGUAACGGCCCACCAAGGCGCCGAACCGUAGCUGGUAUGAGAGGAUGAUCCGACACACUGGAACUGAGACACGGUCCAGACUCCUACGGGAGGCAGCAGUGGGGAAUAUUGGACAAUGGGCGAAAGCCGGAUCCAGCCAUACCGCGUGGGUGAAGAAGGCCUUCGGGUUGGAAAGCCCUUUUGUUGGGAAAGAAAAGCAGCAGGUUAAUACCCCGCUGUUCUGACGGUACCCAAAGAAUAAGCACCGGCUAACUUCGUG